CGCUGGCGGCGUGCCUAAUACAUGCAAGUCGAACGCACUCUCGUUUAGAUUGAAGGAGCUUGCUCCUGAUUGAUAAACAUUUGAGUGAGUGGCGGACGGGUGAGUAACACGUGGGUAACCUGCCCUAAAGUGGGGGAUAACAUUUGGAAACAGAUGCUAAUACCGCAUAAAACCUAACACCGCAUGGUGUAGGGUUGAAAGAUGGUUUCGGCUAUCACUUUAGGAUGGACCCGCGGUGCAUUAGUUAGUUGGUGAGGUAAAGGCUCACCAAGACCGUGAUGCAUAGCCGACCUGAGAGGUAAUCGGCCACACUGGGACUGAGACACGGCCCAGACUCCUACGGGAGGCAGCAGUAGGGAAUCUUCCACAAUGGACGAAAGUCUGAUGGAGCAACGCCGCGUGAGUGAAGAAGGUUUUCGGAUCGUAAAACUCUGUUGUUGGAGAAGAAUGUAUCUGAUAGUAACUGAUCAGGUAGUGACGGUAUCCAACCAGAAAGCCACGGCUAACUACGUG
This 513-nucleotide ribosomal RNA is filed under the name uncultured bacterium. RNAcentral's name for it is "bacterial SSU rRNA". It matches the Rfam family "Bacterial small subunit ribosomal RNA", at positions 34 to 507 of the family's 1533-position model. The record is from RNAcentral.